This is a long non-coding RNA of Odontomachus brunneus, 1019 nucleotides long. RefSeq lists it as uncharacterized. The transcript is spliced from 2 exons. The record is from RefSeq and is a predicted model, not a curated record. NCBI's taxonomy places the organism in Eukaryota, Metazoa, Arthropoda, Insecta, Hymenoptera, Formicidae.
CACAUCUUUUGUUAUUGUAGUUGUGUUGUAUGUUUUUCCGACCGAGAGUACAUGCGCUGAGGAAAAAAGCCCGACGAGUUCAAUUAGGAUGAGUAAAUAAUAUAUAUAUGAGAACACAAGCGGUAGUGACUGUUGUUGCGAGAUAAGCGAAUUAUCGUGCACCGCGGAAUGUCGGACGGCAAACAUAACCUUGUCGUGAGCCAUUAAUAAUGUAUUGUAUAACAAAAUAUUAAUUCAUUCAUAAAUAUACGCGGAUUAUUAUCAUCUUCGUCGUGCGUUUCGCUUCACGCAUGUCAAAGGCUGUAUUAGUGACAUUGUCUUAUUUCGGAUUCCAGUAAAUUAAAAUAUUUGUUGCUUCAUGCAUUGGCAUGCACUGCAGUGGAUCUAGUGAUAACAUUCACUGCAGUGAUGACAUCGAUGAAGACGACGAUCAGGAGGUGUCUUCUUUGCAGGAGGAAAUGAACAUUGAAAAUAUCUUAACAUUUAUUUAUGUUAAGUAUGGAAUGCUUGCCGAGCUCUAGGAUUAGUCACUACCGAAACUUGAUUUUGCCAUCUGCUUGGAAAGUAUAUACAUAUUUUAAAAUGUAUUUAGCAAAGGAAUUGACUUUGUUGAAAUACGUUGUUAGACAGAUAAUGUUUGUCUUUCAAGUUCAAGAUCUGAAAUAUAUAGUGGUCAGCAACAAACAAUGAUUUAUUAAAGUGGUUCAAUUGUUUAUGUGUACAUUAAUGUAUAUCUCUAUUUGACAUAAGGUUUUAAACGAUAUCACAAGAAAUUACAGCAGAAUUUAUGGAGCAUACAAGGUUGACAGUAUCUAUAUCUGUUGCAAUAUCUGUAAAACAUAUAUCUGAAAAACAUUCUCUGAGAGGUUAUCUAUAUAGAUGAACAAAACUAUUUGCCAAAGAUAUACAAGGAGAUAGGAAAAAAUAAUUCGUUGUAAAACAUAAUGUUAAAAUGUACAAAAUAUUUUAUGAAAAUGUUUGUACAUUCAUGCUAACUGUAUUAAAUAUCAUAAAACAAA